This 433-nucleotide long non-coding RNA is filed under the name Scleropages formosus (Asian bonytongue). Its description in RNAcentral is "lncRNA (ENSSFOG00015029771.1)". Lineage: Eukaryota; Metazoa; Chordata; Actinopteri; Osteoglossiformes; Osteoglossidae. The record is from RNAcentral.
GAGGGGUUGGGCGGUGUUAAUCGUGAGCUGGUCCGGUCUUGUCUCCUGACGAGGGGAAGCCCGCUCUGUUUUACAUUUCGCAUGACUAUAUUACUCAACAAAGUUGCAUAAGUGAAGUGGGGAGGACGGCGGACGGGCGGCCGGAGGUGCAGCGGGAGGGAAGGUCGCCUCAGGGAAAACUGAGAGAAGUGAUGCCCAGCAAUAGAGAGACACUUCUGUCGGGGUCGAGCUGUUUUUUCAUGGCGCCAUUGGCAGCCAGGCGUGCCACCUGCUCCGGACCUCUCUCUGCUGUGGCCAGACGGAACAGCUGGCCGCUCUUCUGACGCUCUGAUUGGCUAAUCCCCGCUGGUCACUUGUGCUCUUCCUCCUCGCCUGUCAUUGAACUUUCUCUCAAUUAGUGCCAGGUUUGUGCUUCCUUCACAGGGGCUGCCCU